AAAAAGAUAAAUCCUGGUUUCCAUGUCUAACGUUUGAUCGUCCGUCUUAUUUAAAAAAAUAUAAAAAAAAUUAAAAAGAUAAGUCACGCAUAAAAUAUUAAUCAUGUUUUAUCAUCUAACAACAAUGAAAGUACGAAUUAUAAAAAAAAUUUAUAUAAGACGGACAGUUAAAGUUGGACACGGAAACCCAGGGUUUGUUUUUUU
Molecule: microRNA precursor, 204 nt
Filed under: Oryza glumipatula
Lineage: Eukaryota; Viridiplantae; Streptophyta; Magnoliopsida; Poales; Poaceae
Description: MIR812 microRNA precursor family
Rfam family: MIR812 microRNA precursor family
Source: Rfam by way of RNAcentral